AAUGUAGUUGAAAAAAAAAAAAAAAAACCUCCUGCUCUCCUUCCCCAUUUCAGUUUAGCGAACGCGAACGCGAACGCAAACCCAAACCAAACUCUCCGGACGGAAAAAUAUAAGACCGUUUCAGAACAUUCUGGAAGGCUCCAGGUGUUGCCAUCUCCGAAUCAAGGUUCUCAUUUCAAAUCAGUUGGAGCUUUAACCAAAGGAAGUUUGAAUCUCAAUUCCAUUCAAUUCUCACCCGUUUCCCCUAUUUCCACCCUAGUCUCUGUCAAGAGGAGGAAUUUUGACCAUUGAAAAGAUACAAAAAAAAGUAAUUUUUUCUUUAGAAAUCAAAAGUUCUCCGAAUCCCUGAAUUUCAAAUUUAAAUCAUUGUUCUUAUUGUUUUCGUUUCCGGCGAAGUUAAGCUCGGAAUCGUGGUGGAAGUAUUGCUCUUCUCGUCCAUCCCAGUUGUGCAGGACGGACCGUCGAUGCCACCGUUGGUUGCACCUGCAGAUUUUUCUGAAAAAAAUGAUUUUUGGUCUAUUUUUGCUACGGGGUGUUACAGUAACUGACUGCGUACUCCGGGAAGAUACACCAAAGCCUAUGAACGAGGGCAAUUGUCCACUGGCUACAAUUGGAUGUUGAAAUCAAUCACCGGAAAGUAA
This is a non-coding RNA of Solanum lycopersicum (tomato), 641 nucleotides long. The record is from RefSeq and is a predicted model, not a curated record. Lineage: Eukaryota; Viridiplantae; Streptophyta; Magnoliopsida; Solanales; Solanaceae.